This is a non-coding RNA of Echinostoma caproni, 45 nucleotides long. Lineage: Eukaryota; Metazoa; Platyhelminthes; Trematoda; Plagiorchiida; Echinostomatidae. The record is from Rfam.
GCACUACUGAUGAGUUCGAAACAGGACGAAACAGCUGUCCAGUGC